GUUUUUUUGCCCCUAGUAUUUCACUUUCCCCUUUUUCUUGGAAAAAAAUUAAAGAUAUUUAUGUAGUUUCUUCAUGUACUCCAGUUUAUUAAGAAACUUUAGACUUGAGUAAAGGGGAAGAGGUAAAACCAGUUUGUGAAAUAUCUGAUUGGGAAAGGCAUCUAGAGGAAAAAUUUAAAGGGCAUGUGCAAAUAACAUUUAUAUGAAAAUUUAAAAAGACUAUCAUCAUUGUUUCCAGACCGUUAUAUUGCUCAGCUACAUAAUUUCUAUUGGAACAUAAGGAAGUGCGCAAGCAGAGGGAAAGCUUGAAACUUGAAGGAUUAAGAAAAGGGUUAAUUUACCUGAAUUCAAGCCCAAGUCCUUCCAGCUCCAAAAUUCAAGGACUUCCAUCAAAGAAACCCGAAAACCUGACUGACUCGAACUGAAAAAUUAUGCCCCGCUAAAAGUAUCAGAAUUUGUUUCUAAGAAGGAAGAAAAAGAUGGAUGUUGGAGGAAGCAGCUGACAGUCUCGGCGACACUGUUGCACACACUCAGCCGAGGUCCAGAAGCGGGUGCUCCUCCUUCUGACAGAGCGUCAGAAGGUCAAGAGUCGCCUCGUGUUACGUCACGACCUGCGUCACUCGCCUCUUCCUCUCCUCGUGUGGCUUUUAUCAUCUCCCAGCAUCACAGGAAAGGGUGAGUCCACCACGAUAAGACAUUUUGAGAAAGAUACCACAUUCACAGACCAGUUAUUACAGC
RNAcentral lists this long non-coding RNA (738 nucleotides) under Ursus maritimus (polar bear). RNAcentral describes it as "lncRNA (ENSUMAG00000010686.1)". The record is from RNAcentral. Lineage: Eukaryota; Metazoa; Chordata; Mammalia; Carnivora; Ursidae.